GGGGAUUUAGCUCAGUGGCAGAGCGCUUGCCUAGCAAGUGCAAGGCCCUGGGUUCGGUCCCCAGCUCCG
Molecule: non-coding RNA, 69 nt
Organism: Rattus norvegicus (Norway rat)
Lineage: Eukaryota; Metazoa; Chordata; Mammalia; Rodentia; Muridae
Source: Rfam